CUUCCGAGGAGCGUUGCAGCGCCGCCCGACACGAGGUGGCGCGAGGCUCGGAUUCCAUUUGCAACGACGCUCGCCCACG
This 79-nucleotide non-coding RNA is filed under the name Pseudorhodoferax sp. RNAcentral's name for it is "SAH sequence". It matches the Rfam family "SAH (S-adenosyl-L-homocysteine) riboswitch aptamer". Lineage: Bacteria; Pseudomonadati; Pseudomonadota; Betaproteobacteria; Burkholderiales; Comamonadaceae. The record is from RNAcentral.